CUCUAGCACAGAUAGUAAAUAUUUAGCACCUAUGGUGGCUGCUAAAUUAAAAGCUGGUUAUGCU
This 64-nucleotide small RNA is filed under the name Cellulophaga sp. RHA19. Its description in RNAcentral is "Flavo-1 RNA". The record is from RNAcentral. Lineage: Bacteria; Pseudomonadati; Bacteroidota; Flavobacteriia; Flavobacteriales; Flavobacteriaceae.